RNAcentral lists this ribosomal RNA (253 nucleotides) under uncultured bacterium. RNAcentral describes it as "partial 16S ribosomal RNA". It matches the Rfam family "Bacterial small subunit ribosomal RNA", at positions 524 to 776 of the family's 1533-position model. The record is from RNAcentral.
UACGUAGGGGGCCAGCGUUGCUCGGAAUUACUGGGCGUAAAGGGUCCGUAGGCGGUGCGGAAAGUCGAUAGUGAAAUCUCUGGGCUUAACCCAGAGGCUGCUAACGAAACUGCCGUGCUAGAGUGUGAGAGAGGCGAGUGGAAUUACGGGUGUAGCGGUGAAAUGCGUAGAUAUCUGCAGGAACACCCGUGGCGAAAGCGGCGCGCUGGACCACUACUGACGCUGAGGAACGAAAGCUAGGGGAGCAAACAGG